Molecule: ribosomal RNA, 356 nt
Filed under: uncultured soil bacterium
Lineage: Bacteria
Description: bacterial SSU rRNA
Rfam family: Bacterial small subunit ribosomal RNA
Source: RNAcentral
AGAGUGAACGCUGGCGGUAGGCCUAACACAUGCAAGUCGAACGGCAGCACAGUAGGAGCUUGCUCUUACGGGUGGCGAGUGGCGGACGGGUGAGGAAUACAUCGGAAUCUACCUUUUGGUGGGGGAUAACGUAGGGAAACUUACGCUAAUACCGCAUACGCCCUUCGGGGGAAAGCCGGGGACCAGCAAUGGCCUGGCGCUGAUAGAUGAGCCGAUGUCGGAUUAGCUAGUUGGUGAGGUAAUGGCUCACCAAGGCGACGAUCCGUAGCUGGUCUGAGAGGAUGAUCAGCCACACUGGAACUGAGACACGGUCCAGGCUCCGUACGGGAGCAGCAGUGGGGGAAUAUUGGACAAGU